UAUUUAUUAAUAGUAAAUGAAUGAUGAAUAAAUUGAAUAAGGUUGAUUAUUGUAAUGACUCUCAAAGGUAUUUUUGGAAUUUUUGUAAAAAUGACCAUUUUAUCUAUCUUUUUAGUUGCCCCAAGUUAUUUUCGAUUGGUACCGGGUGUUGAUUUUUAGAAAAUUCUAUGAAAAGUUAAGUCUUUGAAAAUUUUGAGUUUUCAUAAGUUUUAAGUAUUAAAAAGUGGUAUUUGGGGUCAAUCGGAGCUACAGAUCUCGGAAUAGAAUUCUGUUGAUUCCAGCAGCUCCGAAAUGUGAAAUUGGGUUAGGAGACUUUACGGAAUCAGUUUUGGAGUUGUAACGAAGUUUUGAGGCCUUAAGUUGAGAAAUUGAGAAAUUUUAAGCUAAGGUUUGACUUUGGUCAACUUUUGGAGUUUCGAUGCUCAGAAUGAAAUUUUGAGGACUUCAUUGGAUUCGGGAUAUGGUUUUUGGUCUAGAAGAAGUGUUGGUUAAAUUUUUAGAGGUCCGAGUUCGUUUUGGUAUUUUGAAGGCCUAAGUGGGUUUAGUUGUGAUUUUUUGAGUUUUGGUUCAACGAGAUCUCAGAUUCAAAUUAGGCUGGUAGCACUGUUGGAAUCACUAUCGAGGCAAUCGAUACGAAUUUGAGACCAUUUGACGCUUUUGACUUUGAAAGUUAGCCUAUGGUUGACUUUGGUCAAUAUUCUUGGAAAACGCUCUUGAAUGAAAAUUCUGACAGCGCGAUUAGUUACGAAAUGUCGAUUUUGAUCUAGAACGACCAUUCGUUUGCUUUUCGAGGCUUCCACACUAAUAUCGAGGCCCGUUGUGGAAUGUUACUUAAAAUAAUUUUUGGGUGUGGGUCCCAUUUUUUGUUAAAAUGAUCUCGUAUGGGAAUUUUGAAUGCGCCAUUGAGCCCGUCCGAGAUUUUUGGACUUUUCCAAAAUAUGUGUUGCAGAAAAUCUGGUGCAAGCCCGUUUUUAGGUUUGGCUUCAAUUUUAAAACCCAUAACUUGAGUUAUAUAACUCCAAAUUGGGUGAUUCAAAAGGCACUAAUGAGAUUUUUCGUGGGGAACGCAUUGGAGAGCUUGAAAACUGAUUUGGAGCAUUUCAUUCAGAGGCUAUCUUGCGUGGAAUUUUGAGGAGAACAUCGUGGAAGUUUUAAAAUAUGCUUUUGGAACGUCGUUCGAGCUUGACAGCGUUCUGAGGCCGUUCGAAAGGGUAAAUCUCCAGCAUAGUGAUUUAAAGCUCGCAUGUUUAGCCUACAGGACUGAGCACCAGCUACUGCCGUGGAUAGAUCGAGCCUGUUGAAGUCAACUUUGAAGACUAGAGUGAGCACUUGACGUUUUUGGAUCAUUCUUGUCUCAUUCAGUACGGAUGACCCGUCUUUUGUCUUUUGAGACUAGCCAGUUGCUGUAUAUAUGUCCGGUCCAUUUUCGAGACUUGUACUCGUCUUUUAUUUUGUAGCAGUUUUGUACUUGUGACUUUCAGAUUUUGGGAGGGAUCUUUAG
This is a long non-coding RNA of Solanum dulcamara, 1501 nucleotides long. RefSeq lists it as uncharacterized. The record is from RefSeq and is a predicted model, not a curated record. Lineage: Eukaryota; Viridiplantae; Streptophyta; Magnoliopsida; Solanales; Solanaceae. The transcript is spliced from 4 exons.